ACCUUUGCUUUGCAGUGUUAAAAAUCCCAAUUCCUGAGCCCAUCCACCUCUGGGGUCAAAAUGUUUUCCUUGUGCAAAAAAAAAAAAUGAAUGGAUCUUGGCCAAAGAAGUGUGGUUGCACUUUUCUAGCAUCUGUUACUUUGUAAUUAAGAAAAAGAUCUGUAAUAAAUGAAGGAAAAUUUUUUUCUCUUGUAUAACAAUCAAGUUUAAAAAACUUCAUUCAAAUGAUUAACAGUAAUGGUGGAAUAUGUUUAAACAGUGCUUUAGAGUUUCUCAGUGCUUUCGGGUGCUUAGUUUGUCUUGAUCUUCACAUACUCCGUGGAGUGGAAGGUAUCAAGUCCUGUCUGCAUCGAGGCUGAUUUUCACAGGUGGCUUGUGAGAUCAGUUUCAGUACUUCACAGCUACAGUUCCAGGUUUCAUCUUGAGAAAUGUGGACACUAAUAUGUAUACCAGCCUAUUCCAGUUUCACUGAAAUUUGCAAGCUGCUUGUCUACCCAAACUCUCAUUUUUUCAAACACUCUUAAAAACAUGACACCUUCUGAAAAAUCUUUGAAAAAAUUAGCAUAUUCAUAGAAAAAACUCCCAAUAUCCUUAAUGUUUCCAUUUUACUACAUAUUAUGAGAAAUUAAAAACAAAAUGCAAAAUUUGAUGGCUUUUGGUGGAUUUCUAUAUUAUAGUAAGUUUAGUUUUCUCCAAUAUUAUUUGGAAGCAAAAUAAUGAAACAGCACUUUAAUCAGAAGCCUGAUUUUACUUUUGAAUUUUAAACAAGGAUGGAUCUAGAAAACCCUGAUAGCUGAGUUCCAGCGAUACGGGUGAAGGGACCACUGCAGGUUCUUCUCCUCUUUGUCUUCCUCACAUUGAUACAACUUUUUUUCCUCUUUCUGCACAAAUUAUGACUUGAUCACUUCUAACUAAGGCAAGCAUCUGAUAAUGAAGAGUCUGUCCAAUCCAACCCAGUUUAGGAAACUCCCAUUGAAGAUGAAAUGAUGCUACACCAUCAUUACAAACUACUUAUCACACUGCAUAGUACAAAUGCAAAUAA
This 1042-nucleotide long non-coding RNA is filed under the name Bos taurus (domestic cattle). RNAcentral's name for it is "long non-coding RNA NONBTAT011370". The record is from RNAcentral. Lineage: Eukaryota; Metazoa; Chordata; Mammalia; Artiodactyla; Bovidae.